RNAcentral lists this Y RNA (95 nucleotides) under Echinops telfairi (small Madagascar hedgehog). RNAcentral's name for it is "Y RNA (ENSETEG00000021181.1)". It matches the Rfam family "Y RNA". Rfam says of the family: Y RNAs are components of the Ro ribonucleoprotein particle (Ro RNP), in association with Ro60 and La proteins. The record is from RNAcentral. Lineage: Eukaryota; Metazoa; Chordata; Mammalia; Afrosoricida; Tenrecidae.
GGCUGGUCCGAUGGUAGUGGGUUAUCAGAACGUAUUAACAUUAGUAUCACUAUAGUUGGUAUACAAACCCCCAAUGCUGAAUUUGACUGGCUAAA